UGGGGAAUAUUGCACAAUGGGCGCAAGCCUGAUGCAGCAACGCCGCGUGAGGGACGACGGCCUUCGGGUUGUAAACCUCUUUUAGCAGGGAAGAAGCGGAAGUGACGGUACCUGCAGAAAAAGCACCGGCUAACUACGUGCCAGCAGCCGCGGUAAUACGUAGGGUGCAAGCGUUGUCCGGAAUUAUUGGGCGUAAAGAGCUCGUAGGCGGUUUGUCGCGUCUGCUGUGAAAACGCGAGGCUCAAACCUCGCGCCUGCAGUGGGUACGGGCAGACUAGAGUGCGGUAGGGGAGAUUGGAAUUCCUGGUGUAGCGGUGGAAUGCGCAGAUAUCAGGAGGAACACCGAUGGCGAAGGCAGAUCUUCUUGGGCCGUAACUGACGCUGAGGAGCGAAAGCGUGGGGAGCG
This 406-nucleotide ribosomal RNA is filed under the name uncultured Microbacteriaceae bacterium. RNAcentral describes it as "bacterial SSU rRNA". It matches the Rfam family "Bacterial small subunit ribosomal RNA", at positions 355 to 770 of the family's 1533-position model. The record is from RNAcentral. Lineage: Bacteria; Bacillati; Actinomycetota; Actinomycetes; Micrococcales; Microbacteriaceae.